Molecule: transfer RNA, 100 nt
Filed under: Phialocephala subalpina
Lineage: Eukaryota; Fungi; Ascomycota; Leotiomycetes; Helotiales; Mollisiaceae
Rfam family: tRNA
About the family: Transfer RNA (tRNA) molecules are approximately 80 nucleotides in length. Their secondary structure includes four short double-helical elements and three loops (D, anti-codon, and T loops).
Source: Rfam by way of RNAcentral
GCCUCCUUGGUCUAGUGGUAAGACGUCUCUCUCACAAGAUCUGUUUAUAUAACAGAAUCAAGAGCAGAGAAGAUCGCGAGUUCGAUCCUCGCAGGUGGUA